Molecule: RNA transcript, 1034 nt
Organism: Portunus trituberculatus (swimming crab)
Lineage: Eukaryota; Metazoa; Arthropoda; Malacostraca; Decapoda; Portunidae
Exons: 3
Source: RefSeq, a predicted model, not a curated record
UAUUAUUAUUGCUAACUAUUACCAUUAUUGUUAUUAUGAGACAAGUAAGCCAUGGCACAGUUCAUUCCCUCCCUAAGCUGGUGUGGCCUUAAUGGUGACAGAGUGGCAGGCACCAGGCAGACUGAGUGAGGCUUCCUGUGGCCUGAGGAGCCUGCCCAGCUGCUGUGUGAUGGACUGGGAUUGUCUAACACAAAGUGAGCAGCAAGGGAGGACUUGGUGAAGGAUGAGGCAUAUCACUCACCUCUCUUCUGGUCCAAGCCUGCCGGUCAAUGCUUUCUUCUCAUCACCUAAAUUACUCAGACGGGCUCUUUGUGUUGGUGACCUUCCUGGCAGUCCUUUUCACUGCAACACACUGCUCCUGGUGCCUCGGUGCAGCAGUGUCUGGUCUGGCCUCCUCGGCACGCUCCACUGGCCUCGUCAGUGUGGGUCUCCUGCUGUGCAGCAAAUGUCAGCACUGCUCACACCACUGCUACAGACUUAGUGCAAGGAAGGAAAGGGAAACCACAGAAUCAGACCUCACCUAACAUCACUUGCUGUUCUCAGACUGACUGCAGGGAAGGAAAGGGACACCACAGAAUCAGACCUCACCUAACAUCACUUGCUGUUCCCCAGACUUAGUGCAAGGAGGAGGGAAAGGCACCACCAUUGCCACCAUGCCUUGAAUGUGUGUACCGCCAGUGUCCUGCUGUUCCUGCACUGCCCACACCUUGGUGAGGCUGAAUGCUGCUGCAACUCUCCUCCCCCAGGCUGACUCCCACCUGCAGGAUGAGUGUUGGGAUGUGAGUAGUGAGUGGUUUGGUGGAGGCUUCAGAGAGAUUGACAGGCAGAGAGAGGAGCUUAGUUAGUGAUUGGUGUGGUGAGAGGAAAGGUGUGAUGUUGACAGCUGGAUGAUUUCUUACUCACUUGAUUGAUGUGUUAGAUGCUGAGUAACUUUUGUGAGUGUUGCUUGUAUUAAGACACCAAGUAGAUAGAUAGACAGAUAGAUAGAUGGUGUUAGUUCCAUACUUGACUGCCUUCAUGAGAGGAAGAAUACA